This 744-nucleotide long non-coding RNA is filed under the name Rattus norvegicus (Norway rat). RNAcentral describes it as "long non-coding RNA NONRATT020949". The record is from RNAcentral. Lineage: Eukaryota; Metazoa; Chordata; Mammalia; Rodentia; Muridae.
CAAGAGCCACCCGCCUUGGCAAAAUGACAAAACCUUGGGCACCGGACACAAGCAGGGAGCACUACCCUGGCAGUUCUAAGCCCCGCCCAAGCUGACCACGAAACACCUGGGAUCCGCCUCUCGCACGUUUUUAAUUUUUUCCCUUAAGAUUUUGCUCCACUCCCAAGCAGCAAGCCCCGCCCUCAUCCUAUUUCUCCAGACAUUUCAAGGUUGAACCUCUGUGGCCAUGUUCCCCUACAUCUGGAAUCUUGGAAGCAUCAUCCCGACUGCCCUUGCUACAUCGCCUCACCAGAUCUUCAACUAUACUUGGGUGAUUCUUAAUGGCGCUGGAGAUGUGGUGUCUGCCAACUCCACCACUGCUGCACGAGUUCGCUGGCCCAAACUUGAGGUAGAUCUUUGCAAAUUAGUGCUAGGAGCUUACCUUGAUUGGAGCACAUGACAUCUUUGCCCCCCCCUGCCCUGAGCUGGCAGACCCCAGUACUGACCCGGGUUGCAGUAAUACACUCAGAAGAGCCACAUUGGCCCUUCAAAUUGGGGGGAUUUAUUUAUGCCCUGCUGACCACAGAGAUCAUACAAAGGCCAGAGGCUGUGGGUAUGAAACUGAUUUCUACUGUGCCUCCUGGGGCUGUGAGACCACUGGAGACACGUACUGGAAACCCAGCUCUUCCUGGGAUUACAUCACAGCUAAAAGAAAAUUCUCCAAUGCCUGGGUCACCAGUCUGGGCCGACAGCCCCUCAAUAACA